Molecule: long non-coding RNA, 1134 nt
Organism: Zophobas morio
Lineage: Eukaryota; Metazoa; Arthropoda; Insecta; Coleoptera; Tenebrionidae
Exons: 2
Source: RefSeq, a predicted model, not a curated record
AUUUUUCAUUUAUUUUAAUUGUUUUGUGCUUUCAUAACCUACUAAAAACAUUCCAAUCGGUCAUAUACAUAUUACAGGGAACCAAAAUGUCAACAUUGGAGUUGGAAUCUUCAAAGAAAAAUGUUCACAACUGCACACAAUGCCCUUAUUUUACAACGUCACUUUUUCUUCUAAAUAACCACGUGAGACGACACCGAUCUAGGGAAAAAUUUACAUGUUCUAACUCCAAAAUUGAAGUUUAUUACUGCAGAGACUGCUAUUUUCAAACGGAAUUAAUGGUUGUGUUCAAACAACACUUUAUUAAAUAUCACGGCCUCAAUAGAGAAUCUAGGGACGAUUUAUCAAGUGGGGACUUCAGCAUACAAAAUUACGUUUGCGAAAAUUGCGGCUUCGGAACAAAUUUCUCGCUAAAGCUGCUUCGGCACACUUAUGAAUGCAGGGGGAUGAAUUUAAAUCGUCGACGUGUGAUUUAUGUCAGAAAGAAACGGUAUGCGUGUGACAAGUGUCCAUUUAAAAGUGCACAUAAUACUAGCUUAAGAAACCACAUAAAUUGUGUCCAUUUAGAUGAAGAAAAUGCUAAAUGGCACAAGUGCGAACAAUGCCCGUUUAAAACUAAAUUGAAAAGUAGUUUAAAAAUCCACAUAAGUCGAUUACACCCCAACGAACGAGACGUUAAAUGGCACCAAUGUAAAGAGUGUUCACAUAAAACUAAGCUGAAGGCAGAUCUAAGAAAACAUAUAAUUAUGAAACACUUGAGCGAAGAAGAGGUAAGGUGGUACGAAUGUGAACAUUGCCCAUUCAAAACUAAGCACUCAAAAAAUUUGAAAAAACAUGUAAUUGUGCAACAUUUGGAUGAUGAUGAAGUGGAGUGGUACGAGUGUGGAGAUUGUUCGUACAAGGGUAAAACCAAAUCUAAUUUAAAAAAUCAUGUAAAGGUCCAUUCGGAUUUCAAAUCGUAUCAGUGCGAAAAUUGUCCAUAUAAGGCGAAACGCAAGGGUGAAUUAAGACGUCAUAUAAAUUGCACCCAUUUGAAUCGAAUUGGAAGCUAAAUUUAGUUGAUGUGUGAUUGUAUUAAGUUGUAUGUAUAUAAUUAUGUUUGAAAUAAAAUUUCAAAUUGCGCUAGUUUGAAUUUCA